CAAUAGCGUAUAUUAAAGUUGUUGCAGUUAAAAAGCUCGUAGUUGGAUUUGUGGCGUACGGUGUGUUCCGGGCACUUGUUGUCUGAGUAACCUGCUGUUGCCAUCCUUGGGUGGAACCUGUGUGGCAUUAGGUUGUCGUGCAGGGGAUGCCCAUCAUUUACUGUGAAAAAAUUAGAGUGUUCAAAGCAGGCUUAUGCCGUUGAAUAUAUUAGCAUGGAAUAAUGAGAUAGGACUUUUUUGCUAUUUUGUUGGUUUGCGCGAAGAGGUAAUGAUUAAUAGGGACAGUUGGGGGUAUUCGUAUUCCAUUGUCAGAGGUGAAAUUCUUGGAUUUUUGGAAGACGAACUACUGCGAAAGCAUUUACCAAGGAUGUUUUCAUUAA
RNAcentral lists this ribosomal RNA (380 nucleotides) under uncultured eukaryote. RNAcentral's name for it is "partial 18S ribosomal RNA". It matches the Rfam family "Eukaryotic small subunit ribosomal RNA", at positions 592 to 976 of the family's 1831-position model. The record is from RNAcentral.